RNAcentral lists this non-coding RNA (26 nucleotides) under Homo sapiens (human). The record is from RNAcentral. Lineage: Eukaryota; Metazoa; Chordata; Mammalia; Primates; Hominidae.
UACCGCUGUGUGAGGGUGCCCAAGUC